This 462-nucleotide ribosomal RNA is filed under the name uncultured Planctomycetota bacterium. RNAcentral's name for it is "bacterial SSU rRNA". It matches the Rfam family "Bacterial small subunit ribosomal RNA", at positions 379 to 831 of the family's 1533-position model. Lineage: Bacteria; Pseudomonadati; Planctomycetota. The record is from RNAcentral.
AAGGGUGACGAAGCGACGCCGCGUGUGGGAAGAAGGCCUUCGGGUUGUAAACCACUGUCGGGAGUUAGGAAAUGCAGGUGCGUUAAUAGCGCACUUGCUUGACUAAGGCUCCAGAGGAAGCCACGGCUAACUCUGUGCCAGCAGCCGCGGUAAUACAGAGGCGGCAAGCGUUGUUCGGAAUUAUUGGGCGUAAAGAGCACGUAGACGGCCUUGCAAGUCAGUUGUGAAAGCCUUCCGCUUAACGGAAGAACGGCAUCUGAUACUACAGGGCUUGAGUACGGGAGGGGAGAGUGGAACUUCUGGUGGAGCGGUGAAAUGCGUAGAUAUCAGAAGGAACGCCGGCGGCGAAAGCGACUCUCUGGUCCGAAACUGACGCUGAGUGUGCGAAAGCUAGGGGAGCAAACGGGAUUAGAUACCCCGGUAGUCCUAGCCGUAAACGAUGGGCACUAAGUAGAGGGGUCU